AUGGCGACCGGCGCACGGUGAGUAACGCGUAUCCAACCUGCCCUUUACUAUGGGACAGCCCGUCGAAAGGCGGAUUAAUACCGUAUGUUGUCAUGUUGAUGCAUAUUUUCAUGACCAAAGGCUUCGGCCGGUAAAGGAUGGGGAUGCGUCUGAUUAGCUUGCCGGCGGGGUAACGGCCCACCGGGGCGACGAUCAGUAGGGGUUCUGAGAGGAAGGUCCCCCACAUUGGAACUGAGACACGGUCCAAACUCCUACGGAAGGCAGCAG
RNAcentral lists this ribosomal RNA (267 nucleotides) under uncultured bacterium. RNAcentral describes it as "partial 16S ribosomal RNA". It matches the Rfam family "Bacterial small subunit ribosomal RNA", at positions 88 to 354 of the family's 1533-position model. The record is from RNAcentral.